AGCAGCCGCGGUAAUUCCAGCUCCAAUAGCGUAUAUUAAAGUUGUUGCAGUUAAAAAGCUCGUAGUUGAAUUUCGGAGUUUGUCGGUUGGUCGGGCUUCACUGUCCGCACUGGCCUGAUAGAUUCCUACCUUCUGAAUAACCAGCAUGCUAUUAAUUUAGUGCGUUGGGGAAGCAGAGCUAUUACCUUGAAAAAAUUAGAGUGCUUAAAGUAGGCUUAUGCUUGAAUAGAUUAGCAUGGAAUAAUAAAAUAGGACGGCUUGGUUCUAUUUUGUUGGUUUCUAGGAUCACCGUAAUGAUUAAUAGGGAUAGUUGGGGGCAUUAGUAUUCAAUUGUCAGAGGUGAAAUUCUUGGAUUUAUUGAAGACUAACUUCUGCGAAAGCAUUUGCCAAGGAUGUUUUCAUUAAUCAAGAACGAAAGUUAGGGGAUCGAAGACGAUCAGAUACCGUCGUAGUCUUAACCAUAAACUAUGCCGACUAGGGAUCGGACGAUGUUAAUUUUUUAAUGACUCG
Molecule: ribosomal RNA, 510 nt
Filed under: Acaulospora sp. Acau5
Lineage: Eukaryota; Fungi; Glomeromycota; Glomeromycetes; Diversisporales; Acaulosporaceae
Description: SSU rRNA
Rfam family: Eukaryotic small subunit ribosomal RNA
Source: RNAcentral